UACGUAGGCAGCAAGCGUUGUUCGGAGUUACUGGGCGUAAAGAGUGUGUAGGCGGUUCUCUAAGUUCGGUGUGAAAUCUCCCGGCUCAACUGGGAGGGUGCGCCGGAAACUGGAGGGCUUGAGUAUGGGAGAGGAAAGCGGAAUUCCUGGUGUAGCGGUGAAAUGCGUAGAUAUCAGGAGGAACACCUGCGGUGUAGACAGCUUUCUGGACCAUCACUGACGCUGAGACACGAAAGCGUGGGUAGCAAACAGG
Molecule: ribosomal RNA, 253 nt
Filed under: uncultured bacterium
Lineage: Bacteria
Description: partial 16S ribosomal RNA
Rfam family: Bacterial small subunit ribosomal RNA
Source: RNAcentral